Cornus florida is the source of this 106-nucleotide small nucleolar RNA. NCBI's taxonomy places the organism in Eukaryota, Viridiplantae, Streptophyta, Magnoliopsida, Cornales, Cornaceae. The record is from RefSeq and is a predicted model, not a curated record.
AUAUCAUGGUGUGGACACUUCCUUAGAUGAUCAUUAUAUCUCUCCCAUGCAUCAUGAAACUGUUCUCCUGAGAUAUGAGAAAAUGCCAUGAUUUCUUUUCUCAUUU